This 226-nucleotide long non-coding RNA is filed under the name Setaria viridis. Its description in RNAcentral is "long non-coding RNA (SVIR_LNC008714)". The record is from RNAcentral. Lineage: Eukaryota; Viridiplantae; Streptophyta; Magnoliopsida; Poales; Poaceae.
UUUAUUCUCUGCAAAUCAUGGCACGUAGGCAAUCGACACCACUGCUGAUGAUAUCGAUCUUACACAUUGUUCAUCAUUCCAUUCUAGUACAUUUCUACUGGCUACGUCCGGCAGCAGCAGACGCUGGGCGAGUUCAAGCAGUUGCCGCCCUUGCCGAACAACGCCACGUUCCUGCACCAGCUGCUGCAGUCCGGCAGGAAGUUAUCGCACGGGCCCAUGCACUGGU